GUAGUCGUGGCCGAGUGGUUAAGGCAAUGGAUUUCCAUUUCAUUGGGGUACCCCACGCAGGUUCGAAUCCUGCCGGUUUCU
Molecule: non-coding RNA, 81 nt
Organism: Rhincodon typus (whale shark)
Lineage: Eukaryota; Metazoa; Chordata; Chondrichthyes; Orectolobiformes; Rhincodontidae
Source: the annotation of a RefSeq genome assembly